GCCCCUACCUUUUACUUGUUUUUUUUUGUCAGCUGUAGCGUGACUUCUGAGAGAAAGAGUCGCCAUUUUUAUUUGCUUGGGGUUUUGAAUUUUUGAUGUAGCUUAUUUAAUAAGGUUGAAUGCUAUUUGUUAGGCAUUUCUUAGAAUUUGUGAUGGGUUUUAGUUGGUUCGGGUUGGCGGUUGGUGAUCUUGCUAUUUAUUUAUUUUUGAUGAAUUUCGAUGUUUUAAGACUUGGAGACCAUAAUGUCCACCCUUCGAGAAGCUGAGUAACAUUCUACUUGUACAAUGUUAAGAAUGGCACCUUUUAAUAAAAGGAACUUCAGGCAUCCAAUCUAGGACUUCCAUCCAAUUGUGCAGGCUGCAUGGAAGUCGCAUUUACCUUUGCUGUGAACAUCAUGAACACAUACACUAUUUGAAGGUUCAUGUUUACAUAGCAGUGGUGUUGCUGUCCAAUGUGGCUUGUUGUUGCAGCCUAUGGUGGUGAAAGAUAUCAGCAUCCAGUAUUGUGUUUAAUUGCUAUUUGUGUCUAUGCAGUUUACCUUUUAUAUAUUGAGAAGGAACAAAAAAAAGUAAUAUGGGGAGGUUUAUGUCAAACAAAUAAUAAACAUGUCCGGGACUGGGGAAUGAGGAGUAAAUUGGGGUGGGAUAUUUGAUCAUCAUUUACUAAAAGAAGUGAGGUAUAUUUUUAAUGAAUGCGCAAUACUUAGUGAUAAAAUCUUUUGUUAACCUAUAUAACCUUCCCCACUUACACAUCCAUUCCUCAAACCCCAUAAACACCAACAUCAAAUCCCACAUCCACUCACAUCCAUUCCUCAAACUCCACAAUCCCCAACAUCAAACCACACAAUUGUUGUACAUCUAUAAU
This is a long non-coding RNA of Daphnia pulex (common water flea), 865 nucleotides long. RefSeq lists it as uncharacterized. The transcript is spliced from 4 exons. Lineage: Eukaryota; Metazoa; Arthropoda; Branchiopoda; Diplostraca; Daphniidae. The record is from RefSeq and is a predicted model, not a curated record.